This is a long non-coding RNA of Cavia porcellus (domestic guinea pig), 1831 nucleotides long. RefSeq lists it as uncharacterized. NCBI's taxonomy places the organism in Eukaryota, Metazoa, Chordata, Mammalia, Rodentia, Caviidae. The transcript is spliced from 6 exons. The record is from RefSeq and is a predicted model, not a curated record.
GCUGCAGUCUGGGUCAGCCGCUUGCUGCCCACGUGACCCUGGGAAAGUGCCCUGGCUUUGGUUUCCUCAGCUUGAAGGCAGCAAUAGUGAGAACCCACGUCCCGUGACUGCAGUGAAAUCAGAAACGGGCAGUGUUCGUGCAUCACACUGAGUCAGUGCUACGAGAUGCCAGUCCAUGUCAGGAGGCCACAGGCUACGACCAAGGCCGAAGAGUCCCAGGCAGAAGCCAAACAGUCUGUGCCAGAAGCCAGGAAAUGACGUCCAAGUUCAAGAGGCUGAGGAUGACCUGGUCCCCUGAUGAAUCACUUAAAGUCCUGACCUUCUCAGGUUGACCCAAUGCACCGUAUCCUAGAAGGGUAAGGACUUGUCCUCUGCACCCCAGGACGCAGAGCUGCUGAGUCCCUUGGUGAAGCUUCCGGCUUCCCAGGUGGACCCAGGGUAUAAACCGGAGCGGUGGUGUGGGUGCUCCUGGGGGCGGUGGGAUCGAUGAUCCGAGCAAGGAUGAAGCACGUGCAGCAGUACUGAUGGAGGUGACAGUGUGACCGCGGAGCCACAGCUGCCCUCCGAGUGGAUAUGAUGGUGGCAUCUUGGUGCCAGUGCGUGGAGAGGGUGACGCUUUGCCAUCAGGAUGGUGGCAGCACUGGUGCCGCAGCUCAUGGCCGUGUUGCGGAGGUGGAGGUAGAGGAGGAAGAGCUCAUGAGGAAAGAUGUCCCUGGAUGGAGCAGUCGAGCCAAGUGUGACAGAUGAAUGCCCAGCUGGGGACACAGCAGGGACCUUGUAAAUGCAAACUCUGCCUAUGAGACUUUGCUGAUGGGUAGGGGGCAGGGAAUGAGACAGGAUGCCCGGCAGUCACCACCCCGGAGAUAACUGAGGAGUGGGGGAAGGCAGGGCCCACAGGAACAGAGAAGGGGGCUCCUAACUGCGUGUGGGGAGAGCCGGGCUCCUGUAGAGCUUCCCGGGAGAGCUAGCACUGUCUCAGCUGCUGGACACAGAGCACGAGUGAGUGAUCCAGGCAGAAGCAGCCGUGGACAGAGGCAGAAGAGGGAAGGGGAGGGGAGUAGAGGUACACGGGCCGCUGUCCCGUGGCUGAGGCAAAAAUAUCUGACACCCACAAUUUCAUUUUUUUGUUUUGAGAGGAAGUCUCAUUGUGCAGUUCAGGCUGGCCUUGAACUCACAGCAACCCUCCUGCCUCAGCCUCAGAGCACUGGGAUUGCAGGCUCCGAGGCAGAAAUGUCACGAUGUUGGAGAGCUGUUCACUCAGCAACAGGAAGCAGACAGAAAGCAGAGAUGGAGAAGACUUCAGGCAGUGGCCGUGCUAGAAGACGGAAGCCAGAAGCCCAGGGAGGGGCCGAGCUGCCCAGGACAUCUGCUGUGUGCUUAGAGCUCAGCUCUUUCCCGCCAUUGCCAUCAAGAGCUUCCCUGUCACCAUGGUUACCGGGGAGGAGCUCGGGACCUCUGUGUUGCUGAGGAUGGCUGUGGUGCUUUCAGGACAGCCCUGAUCUUUGUUUUGAGCAUGACUUCUCAGCUCUAGCAUGGAACCCUCAACCUACCAGCACAGCUCCUUCACCCCGCUGGCAUGGACUUUCUGGCUUCCACCGCUGAGCUCUGGGCCUUCCCAGGGUAGAUCCGUAACGCAGACUCAUGUGAGACCUCGAUGGCUCCAGCUGGACUGGUGGGAGGCUGUCAUGGGCUCUAGGUCUUCAUCUGGACUCCUGCAGGACAUUGCUGUGGGACUCAGGCCCUUGGCUGAAUAUUCUGUGUCUUUGGUGCUGUGCACAGAUUUCCUGCACUUGUGUUAACUCUGGGUGACCAUCAUAAAUAAUAUUAUGAA